AUGAUCCCAGUGGGAAAAGGGAGGAUUUUCCCUUCCAGAAGGUGCUUUUGGUGCUGGUGUGGAAUGGCUGAGGGCAGCAGGGACCUGCAGGAACGAGCUCUUCCCACAGAACUGUGGGGGUUCCAUGUGGGAAUCUGGGUUUGGGAUGGAUCUGGGAUCUCCAAGUGGGGGAUUUUGGGGAAUCUGAGUGUUUGGGAUGGAUCUGGGAUCUCCAAGUGGGGGAUUUUUGGGAAUCUGGGAUCUCCAAGUGGGGGAUUUUUGGGGAAUCUGUGUGUUUGGGAUGGCUCUGGGAUCUCCAAGUGGGGGAUUUUUGGGAAUCUGAGUGUUUGGGAUGGAUCUGGGAUCUCCAAGUGGGGGAUUUUUGGGGAAUCUGUGUGUUUGGGAUGGCUCUGGGAUCUCCAAGUGGGGGAUUUUUGGGAAUCUGUGUGUUUGGGAUGGCUCUGGGAUCUCCAAGUGGGGGAUUUUUGGGAAUCUGGGAUCUCCAAGGGGGGGAUUUUUGGGAAUCUGAGCUGUGUGUUUGGGAUGGAUCUGGGAUCUCCAAGUGGGGGAUUUUUGGGAAUCUGUGUGUUUGGGAUGGAUCUGGGAUCUCCAAGUGGGGGAUUUUGGGAAUCUGAGUGUUUGGGAUGGAUCUGGGAUCUCCAAGUGGGGGAUUUUUGGGAAUCUGUUUGGGAUGGCUGUGGGAUCUCCAAGUGGGGGAUUUUUUGGGAAUCUGGGAUCUCCAAGUGGGGGAUUUUUGGGAAUCUUGAGUGUUUGGGAUGGAUCUGGGAUCUCCAAGUGGGGGAUUUUUGGGAAUCUGAGCUGUGUGUUUGGGAUGGAUCUGCAACAUCCACGACCUCCAAGUGGUGGAUUUUGGGGAACACUCAAGUGCUGAGCUGGGAGGAGUUCCCUGGCUGUGCUGGGCAGGUGGGGAGGGAGGGCCCAUCCCUCCUGAUCCUCGGGAUGAGCCUCAUUCCCGCUUUUCCUCUGGCUCUGGGUGUUUCCUCCUGGCGCAGAGCCAGGAAAGGAGCUGGUGCUUUGUCAGUUCCUUCAGCUCAGGGACAUUCCAGUCCAGGAACAUUCCACAUUCCCAAGUGCUGCUGGGGUUCCCUGCCCUGCGUGGACAUUGCAGCCCUGUGGAUCCUUCUGUUCUGGGAUGAUUUCGAUUGUUUUCUUGGGAAUAAACAAACUUUUCCUGAUGCUGAACCUGUUCCUGCCUUCCUGAUUUCUCCUGCCUGGUGCCAGGUGUGUCCAUGGCGUGCUUUAACCUGUUCCAGGAUCUUUGGGAUUUCCCAAGCAGUGACCAGAGCUGCUGCCAUGGAGCUGCUGAUCCAUAAAUCCUGCAGAGCUCACAGAUCUGGAUUAAAUCCCUGAGGGAUGCCAGUGAUCCCAAGGAUGGAAAAAAAAAUCCCCAAAAGGUGUUGGCAGCAAAGAGCUCUGGAGAGUUCCCAGUGGGAAUGUGAUGGGAAAAGGGGACAGUUUGGAACACAGCACAGGAAAUGCUGCUUUUCCAAGCUCUGAUUCAGCUGAGCUUGGCAAGGAGGAAGCACCAAACAGAACUGAUGUUUUUAUAACCCAAUGUCUGCCAGGAAAUUUGUUCUGCAUUGGAUAUUUCUCAUC
RNA transcript from Corvus hawaiiensis (hawaiian crow), 1596 nucleotides. It is a transcript of the gene named feruloyl esterase B-like, with no coding region annotated. Lineage: Eukaryota; Metazoa; Chordata; Aves; Passeriformes; Corvidae. The record is from RefSeq and is a predicted model, not a curated record. The transcript is spliced from 5 exons.